Molecule: long non-coding RNA, 1560 nt
Filed under: Felis catus (domestic cat)
Lineage: Eukaryota; Metazoa; Chordata; Mammalia; Carnivora; Felidae
Description: lncRNA (ENSFCAG00000042683.2)
Source: RNAcentral
CCCACGGUCGCGCACGCGCGCGCGUCGCUGAGCAGGGUGCUCGCAGACCCCCCGCUCCCAGCCGGCUCCUCCAGGCUGCCCGCGGGGGGCGCCCUCCUGCUCCCCUCCGGCCCUCGGGCGCCCGCCUCGGGCAUCCCGGGCCUGGGGCUCGCGCAACCACCCCUCUUCCCACCUGGGCUCCGGGGCCCCCGCUGCAACAGCCGGCGCAUUUCCUAAUUUAGGGCGUCCCCGCCGGGGGCAUGGUCCCUUGCAGGAGGCUCGAGAGCCUUGCCUGCCACCCCUGGGGCUCCGGAAGCGGCGCCCUCUCCUCGUCGACACUCCUGCAAAGCAAGGGCCGGCCCCCGCCGCGAGGAGGCACCCCGCGGGAUGGGCGGAAGCCUGGUGCCGGCAGAAAUGCCGCCGCGCACCGCCAGCUCCCCGCGUAGGGCUCCUUCGCAGCGAGCGCUGAUCACGACUUUUACGAAGCCGCUUUUACUCUGGUUUUCCCAGGCCUGGAGAGGUGCGCCCCACUGUGUUUCCAUGGCCUCCAGGUAUCCUGUUUUCUCGUCCCAAGAUCCAGGUUAAAGGAGGGGCCUUUAUCGGAGGCAAGCUGUCCCUAAGGGAAAAAUCCAGAGAGCUGAUGGAAACACACCAUGUACCAGAAAGCUUCUCUUUCCGCCCGACACGUGUCAGCCCAAGGACAUUCGUAUCCCAAAGGAAGUCACCGGCCCGAUCCGAAUACCAACCGAGCCUCAUCGCAAAUGCGUAUCCCUCUCAAGACACUGGAGGCCACUUGGUCACAGAGACGCAGGGAAGCUGCAAACUGAGCUGGAGCUGGUGUCUCAAUGUGAGUAGGUUGCUCUAAUCACAUGUGGGCAGACAUCCAUGGAAUCCGUGGUGUGGGGCCGAGUCAGCCACUUGAGGAAGGAAUCCGGACUCAGGCUGCUUGUUUUGUCGUCGUGGAUCAUGACGGGGGAUCUGAGUAAUGGUGAAGUGAUGCGUGAUGGAACUUCUCUUACGCGUAUGUGUGCUGUCUGCUACCCAUUUGACUCAAAGCUCUGUGCUUGUCUGAGUCAGGCCUGGACCACCCACCAGUGCCCCAUCAGAAGCUGGCACGUUAACGUGUGUACGGAAUUUUAACUAAUGAAUGGGAUGCAACGGACGAUCCGGCGUGCCCCGUAAUUUACAAUUUGCUUUUUAGAGUGUACUUAGACAUUUAUUUUUCUCUCUUUCAUUUUAAAGUUAGGUCGUUUUCCUGAGGCAAAGUAUGCCUUGAAUCGUGCGUGCCAUUUUCAAGAUGUAUCCGUGGUCUGACCCAUACCUGAUUUAACUCGAGUAUUAACACGCGCUUUUCUGUAGGUGCUCUUGCGUCUCCUUGCAUACGUUUUGCUAUUUGGAAAGAUUUUUUAAAGUCAUGAUUCGCACGAAUAGGAGGAGGUCCUCAAUUAUACCUGGAUUUGCAUUACUUGUUUAAUAGGAUAAGCCCAGAUGUGCUGAGAUGGUUUAAACACUAUGCCUCCCAGAUGUGCCUCUGUUAAAUCACAAAUUCAAGGUAAUAAAUAUGCUGCUGUUGUAUGUUCA